Molecule: ribosomal RNA, 516 nt
Filed under: uncultured Glomus
Lineage: Eukaryota; Fungi; Glomeromycota; Glomeromycetes; Glomerales; Glomeraceae
Description: SSU rRNA
Rfam family: Eukaryotic small subunit ribosomal RNA
Source: RNAcentral
AGCAGCCGCGGUAAUUCCAGCUCCAAUAGCGUAUAUUAAAGUUGUUGCAGUUAAAAAGCUCGUAGUUGAAUUUCGGGAUCAGUGGGUCGGUCGUGCCACUGGUAUGCACUGGCCCUACUGGUUCCUCCUUCUUGAAGAACUGUAAUGCCAUUAAUUUGGUGUUGCAGGGAAACAGGACUGUUACUUUGAAAAAAUUAGAGUGUUUAAAGCAGGCAAUCGCUUGAAUACAUUAGCAUGGAAUAAUGAAAUAGGACGAUCGAUCCUAUUUUGUUGGUUUCUAGGAUUGACGUAAUGAUUAAUAGGGAUAGUUGGGGGCAUUAGUAUUCAAUUGUCAGAGGUGAAAUUCUUGGAUUUAUUGAAGACUAACUACUGCGAAAGCAUUUGCCAAGGAUGUUUUCAUUAAUCAAGAACGAAAGUUAGGGGAUCGAAGACGAUCAGAUACCGUCGUAGUCUUAACCAUAAAACUAUGCCGACUAGGGAUCGGAUGAUGUUAAUUUUUUAAUGACUCAUUCGGCG